RNAcentral lists this ribosomal RNA (468 nucleotides) under uncultured bacterium. RNAcentral's name for it is "partial 16S ribosomal RNA". It matches the Rfam family "Bacterial small subunit ribosomal RNA", at positions 28 to 507 of the family's 1533-position model. The record is from RNAcentral.
GACGAACGCUGGCGGCGUGCUUAACACAUGCAAGUCGAACGGAAAGGCCCUGCUUUUGUGGGGUGCUCGAGUGGCGAACGGGUGAGUAACACGUGAGUAACCUGCCCUUGACUUUGGGAUAACUUCAGGAAACUUGGGCUAAUACCGGAUAGGAGCUCCUGCUGCAUGGUGGGGGUUGGAAAGUUUCGGCGGUUGGGGAUGGACUCGCGGCUUAUCAGCUUGUUGGUGUGGUAGUGGCUUACCAUGGCUUUGACCGGUAGCCGGCCUGAGAGGGUGACCGGCCACAUUGCGACUGAGAUACGGCACAGACUCCUACGGGAGGCAGCAGUGGGGAAUAUUGCACAAGAGGCGGAAGCCUGAUGCAGCAACGCCGCGUGCGGGAUGACGGCAUUCGGGUUGUAAACCGCUUUCGCCUGUGACGAAGCGUGAGUGACGGUAAUGGGUAAAGAAGCACCGGCUAACUACGUG